Molecule: ribosomal RNA, 253 nt
Filed under: uncultured bacterium
Lineage: Bacteria
Description: partial 16S ribosomal RNA
Rfam family: Bacterial small subunit ribosomal RNA
Source: RNAcentral
UACGAAGGGGGCUAGCGUUGCUCGGAAUCACUGGGCGUAAAGCGCGCGUAGGCGGCUUCUUAAGUCAGGGGUGAAAUCCUGGAGCUCAACUCCAGAACUGCCUUUGAUACUGAGAGGCUCGAGUCCGGGAGAGGUGAGUGGAACUCCGAGUGUAGAGGUGAAAUUCGUAGAUAUUCGGAAGAACACCAGUGGCGAAGGCGGCUCACUGGCCCGGUACUGACGCUGAGGUGCGAAAGCGUGGGGAGCAAACAGG